This is a long non-coding RNA of Chinchilla lanigera (long-tailed chinchilla), 1777 nucleotides long. RefSeq lists it as uncharacterized. The record is from RefSeq and is a predicted model, not a curated record. The transcript has 2 exons. NCBI's taxonomy places the organism in Eukaryota, Metazoa, Chordata, Mammalia, Rodentia, Chinchillidae.
UUUAUUUAUUUUUGGCCUACAGUAAUGAUCACUGCUAUCAUAGUGUCAAUAAAAUAGAUUUUAAAAUCGUCACACAAGUACCCGCAAUGACGGGCUUCACGUGGCCGAGCCUCUCCUUUGAACAGUCCCAGUAUUCAAAUGUGACAGCAGCUGCCGCCAGGGAGCACACGCAAGGAGCAAAGGCUGCGCUGAUCACAGCUCUGUGCAAGGGUGCUGCUUCCGCAGUGCAAGGGCGCUACAAAUCCAUCUGCCAGAGUCGGGUGCGGUACCCAUGAAGGGCACAAGCAAGUCAGCAAAGGGACUAUUCACUGUCACUUCCUACUGAAGAACAGACAGGAAGUACUUGUUCAAUAAACAAACCACGAGUGAAGAAUACUCAUGUGGUCAGGUUUUUUUCCUCAUUGACAGAAUAAAGACCACACAAGUGCUCUGCCCUCAGAGCUCACCCUUCGGGACAGAUGGUUCCGACUGUCUAGCUCCGUUUCCUCGGGGCUGAGUAAACCAUCAGCCCUUUGUUUAACUGAAGAAGAAGCGUGUGCUUUGGGACAGCCAGGACAAGGACAGCGGCACUGGAAAGGAGAAAGAGACAGAGACAAACGCCAACCGGCCGACCUCAGCCCCUUCCCCGCUCUGCCAGCUGUGAGCCAGAGAAAGCUCCGUGGGAGGGAAGACCGCCCGUGUCGGCCCGGGGUCACAGCGCGUGUGUGACACCCCAGGCCCCGCUGGCACCUGGCAGAUCAAAGCCUUGCCAUCUGAAGUACAGGACUGACCCCAGGACGGGACCCAGCUCUGGGUGCCGUGGCUUUCCAGGUUCAGAAUGAGAGCUCAGGGAGAGCGUGUGAAGUCUUAAAGCCCUGACUGCUUCCGUCUUCCAGCACUGGAAACACUCGGUGAGCGGGAAGAGGCACGGUGCCCGCGUCCUCCUGUCAGCUCCGUAUUCUGCCGCACCCACCUGCCCCGGCCAAUACCGCCAGGACGGCGGCGAGCGCCACACCCCGGGUUAGACUCUGGGCUGAUUCAUCAGCUCCCGGACCCCGGGUCCCCUUUGCGACGGGAAUGGCGAUGGUUAUGAUCCCACGAGUUCACUGUCGGGACUGAGGCAGGCUGGGAAUCCUGUCCCCACGUCCCGGAGCAGCGCAGUCAAUGCAGGCCGCUGCUGGUGUGGGGAGGACACAGGAAAGCUCGCUGUGCUGCAGGUGCGACAGGCGCGGGGUCAGUCGGCUCAGGGGCUGAAUCGAGACCUCCUUGGGUGCCCAGAGCUCCCGUUGGACAGGUGGGGAGGGAGCCCGCGAGUCACUCCUGCGGCACGCGCACGCCUCGGCAGAAGGGCACACAGAGCUGUCCCGUGCGCUGAGUCCGGACGCCGCCGGAGCCCGCGCGGAGGGGAGGAAGCGGACCGCGUCCGCCAGGACCAUCACCAUCCGGCCGUCCGGGAUCCUCACCGGCUGGUGGUUAAGAGACAGUGCGGUCGGUCAUGAGUCACCAGGCAAGAGGGUUUGACAGGGGGCAGCGUGGAUGACCACACCACAGCACGGCUGAACAGAACUCUGUGUGAGGCUGCACAGCCUCCCUGCACUGCGACUGAGGCUGCAGCCAUGACCAACACUCAGGGAGAGUUCCACAACCGCUCCGCGUGCAGCCUGCCAGUGUUCAGAAGCGAGGACGCCGUAUCCACACUCACAGAGCAAAAUACCUUGGAGAGCUGAUAUAACAUAACUAAGAGUGCUUGGGGACAUUUUGUUUCAUGUACUUCAAUAAAAUGAUGAUAUUGCUCUGA